UAGUUUAGCUCUAUCACCUCAGGCUGUGAUCUCAUCAGGAGCUCACAAACUAAGUAGGGUCAGACUAGGUCAGCAUUUGGAUGGGAAACUGCUGAGGGAAGCUUGAAUGCUGCAGGAG
RNAcentral lists this ribosomal RNA (118 nucleotides) under Sphenodon punctatus (tuatara). The record is from RNAcentral. Lineage: Eukaryota; Metazoa; Chordata; Lepidosauria; Sphenodontia; Sphenodontidae.